GGAGAGAUGUCCGAGUGGUUUAAGGAGCUGGUCUCGAAAACCGGUAUCUGAUUUAUUCAGAUCGUGGGUUCGAAUCCCACUCUCUCCG
Molecule: transfer RNA, 88 nt
Filed under: Chloroflexota bacterium
Lineage: Bacteria; Bacillati; Chloroflexota
Description: tRNA-Ser
Rfam family: tRNA
About the family: Transfer RNA (tRNA) molecules are approximately 80 nucleotides in length. Their secondary structure includes four short double-helical elements and three loops (D, anti-codon, and T loops).
Source: RNAcentral